RNAcentral lists this ribosomal RNA (348 nucleotides) under Triticum aestivum (bread wheat). RNAcentral describes it as "partial small subunit ribosomal RNA". The record is from RNAcentral. Lineage: Eukaryota; Viridiplantae; Streptophyta; Magnoliopsida; Poales; Poaceae.
AUGCAUCAUCUUUCGAUGAGCAAUCUCCCCCCAUUACUAUGUCUCCUUCUAUUGGAAACGCACUGCCUCAAGCUCAACCUAGCUUCUGCGCUUGCCCGCUUCCACCUAUUGAUCACUAUGGGUGUUCUGGCGCUGCUCUUCUCAAUACCACUUACUGUGACACGAUGUUCACCCAAACGGCGACAUGCGAUGGCAAAGGAGAUUGCUGCUCUUGAACGCACUGACACAUGGGAUCUCAUUUCCCUUCCUCCUCAUGCUCAACCCAUCACUUGUAUAUUGUACAUUGGUCUACAAGAUUUAGACUAUGAUGGUUCCCUUGCCUUACAAAGCUCGUCUUGUGACUUAUAG